Molecule: small RNA, 29 nt
Filed under: Bombyx mori (domestic silkworm)
Lineage: Eukaryota; Metazoa; Arthropoda; Insecta; Lepidoptera; Bombycidae
Description: ovarian small RNA-19223
Source: RNAcentral
UAAGAUUAACUGUAAAGCCACAAGAGCUA